RNAcentral lists this ribosomal RNA (858 nucleotides) under uncultured Micromonosporaceae bacterium. RNAcentral describes it as "bacterial SSU rRNA". It matches the Rfam family "Bacterial small subunit ribosomal RNA", at positions 56 to 929 of the family's 1533-position model. Lineage: Bacteria; Bacillati; Actinomycetota; Actinomycetes; Micromonosporales; Micromonosporaceae. The record is from RNAcentral.
UGCAAGUCGAGCGGAAAGGCCCUUCGGGGUACUCGAGCGGCGAACGGGUGAGUAACACGUGAGCAACCUGCCCCAUGCUUUGGGAUAACCCUCGGAAACGGGGGCUAAUACCGAAUAUUCACUGCUGAUCGCAUGUUUGGUGGUGGAAAGUUUUUCGGCGUGGGAUGGGCUCGCGGCCUAUCAGCUUGUUGGUGGGGUAAUGGCCUACCAAGGCGACGACGGGUAGCCGGCCUGAGAGGGCGACCGGCCACACUGGGACUGAGACACGGCCCAGACUCCUACGGGAGGCAGCAGUGGGGAAUAUUGCACAAUGGGCGGAAGCCUGAUGCAGCGACGCCGCGUGAGGGAUGACGGCCUUCGGGUUGUAAACCUCUUUCAGCAGGGACGAAGCGAGAGUGACGGUACCUGCAGAAGAAGCGCCGGCCAACUACGUGCCAGCAGCCGCGGUAAGACGUAGGGCGCGAGCGUUGUCCGGAAUUAUUGGGCGUAAAGAGCUCGUAGGCGGCUUGUCGCGUCGACUGUGAAAACCCGCGGCUCAACCGCGGGCCUGCAGCCGAUACGGGCAGGCUAGAGUUCGGUAGGGGAGACUGGAAUUCCUGGUGUAGCGGUGAAAUGCGCAGAUAUCAGGAGGAACACCGAUGGCGAAGGCAGGUCUCUGGGCCGAUACUGACGCUGAGGAGCGAAAGCGUGGGGAGCGAACAGGAUUAGAUACCCUGGUAGUCCACGCUGUAAACGUUGGGCGCUAGGUGUGGGGGACCUCUCCGGUUCUCUGUGCCGCAGCUAACGCAUUAAGCGCCCCGCCUGGGGAGUACGGCCGCAAGGCUAAAACUCAAAGGAAUUGCCGGGGGCCCGCACAAG